Molecule: ribosomal RNA, 739 nt
Filed under: Fusarium solani
Lineage: Eukaryota; Fungi; Ascomycota; Sordariomycetes; Hypocreales; Nectriaceae
Description: eukaryotic LSU rRNA
Rfam family: Eukaryotic large subunit ribosomal RNA
Source: RNAcentral
AGUCGUCUUCGUAUGCGAGUGUUCGGGUGUCAAACCCCUACGCGAAAUGAAAGUGAACGCAGGUGAGAGCUUCGGCGCAUCAUCGACCGAUCCUGAUGUUAUCGGAUGGAUUUGAGUAAGAGCAUACGGGGCCGGACCCGAAAGAAGGUGAACUAUGCCUGUGUAGGGUGAAGCCAGAGGAAACUCUGGUGGAGGCUCGCAGCGGUUCUGACGUGCAAAUCGAUCGUCAAACAUGGGCAUGGGGGCGAAAGACUAAUCGAACCUUCUAGUAGCUGGUUUCCGCCGAAGUUUCCCUCAGGAUAGCAGUGUUGAACUCAGUUUUAUGAGGUAAAGCGAAUGAUUAGGGACUCGGGGGCGCUAUUUAGCCUUCAUCCAUUCUCAAACUUUAAAUAUGUAAGAAGCCCUUGUUGCUUAAUUGAACGUGGGCAUUCGAAUGAAUCAACACUAGUGGGCCAUUUUUGGUAAGCAGAACUGGCGAUGCGGGAUGAACCGAACGCGAGGUUAAGGUGCCAGAGUAGACGCUCAUCAGACACCACAAAAGGUGUUAGUACAUCUUGACAGCAGGACGGUGGCCAUGGAAGUCGGAAUCCGCUAAGGACUGUGUAACAACUCACCUGCCGAAUGUACUAGCCCUGAAAAUGGAUGGCGCUCAAGCGUCUCACCCAUACCUCGCCCUCAGGGUAGAAACGAUGCCCUGAGGAGUAGGCGGACGUGGAGGUCAGUGACGAAGCCUAGGGCG